This 284-nucleotide ribosomal RNA is filed under the name Phocaeicola plebeius DSM 17135. Its description in RNAcentral is "partial 16S ribosomal RNA". It matches the Rfam family "Bacterial small subunit ribosomal RNA", at positions 493 to 776 of the family's 1533-position model. The record is from RNAcentral. Lineage: Bacteria; Pseudomonadati; Bacteroidota; Bacteroidia; Bacteroidales; Bacteroidaceae.
UCUUUUCCUUUUUUUCCCUCAGCCGCGGUAAUACGGAGGAUGCGAGCGUUAUCCGGAUUUAUUGGGUUUAAAGGGAGCGCAGACGGGUCGUUAAGUCAGCUGUGAAAGUUUGGGGCUCAACCUUAAAAUUGCAGUUGAUACUGGCGUCCUUGAGUGCGGUUGAGGUGUGCGGAAUUCGUGGUGUAGCGGUGAAAUGCUUAGAUAUCACGAAGAACUCCGAUUGCGAAGGCAGCACACUAAUCCGUAACUGACGUUCAUGCUCGAAAGUGUGGGUAUCAAACAGG